CCAUAACGGUCUUUGUGUUUAAUAUUUUUAGUCACUAUCAAAGUUUGACGCCUAAGCGUGUUUUUAAACUAGUAAUUUAGUUGACGGCGAAGAAACAUAAAAACUAACUGGACAAAUUUAGGUUAAAUUCAGAUCCAGUUUGUGCAUGUCAUACAGUUGCAGUUCAUACAUUUUGCACAAAGUUGGACCAAAAAGCCUGGAAGGAAUUGAUAUUUUCCAUUGGAUGUAGAACUUGGACCUCUGUUUUAUAGUUGUUGUUCCCUCUCAUUAUUUGAUUAAUCCUGAAGUCUAAGAGAACC
Cyprinus carpio (common carp) is the source of this 299-nucleotide long non-coding RNA. RefSeq lists it as uncharacterized. The transcript is spliced from 3 exons. Lineage: Eukaryota; Metazoa; Chordata; Actinopteri; Cypriniformes; Cyprinidae. The record is from RefSeq and is a predicted model, not a curated record.